GACGAACGCUGGCGGCGUGCUUAACACAUGCAAGUCGAACGGAAAGGCCCUGCUUUUGUGGGGUGCUCGAGUGGCGAACGGGUGAGUAACACGUGAGUAACCUGCCCUUGACUUUGGGAUAACUUCAGGAAACUGGGGCUAAUACCGGAUAGGAGCUCCUGCUGCAUGGUGGGGGUUGGAAAGUUUCGGCGGUUGGGGAUGGACUCGCGGCUUAUCAGCUUGUUGGUGGGGUAGUGGCUUACCAAGGCUUUGACGGGUAGCCGGCCUGAGAGGGUGACCGGCCACAUUGGAACUGAGAUACGGCCCAGACUCGUACGGGAGGCAGCGGUGGGGAAGAUUACACAAGGGGCGGAGGCCUAAUGCAACAACGCCGCGUGCGGGAUGACGGCCUUCGGGUUGUAAACCGAUUUCGCCUGUGACGAAGCGUGAGUGACGGUAAUGGGUAAAGAAGCACCGGCUAACUACGUG
Molecule: ribosomal RNA, 468 nt
Filed under: uncultured bacterium
Lineage: Bacteria
Description: partial 16S ribosomal RNA
Rfam family: Bacterial small subunit ribosomal RNA
Source: RNAcentral